CAGCAGCACCUGCAGGGGAAGGUAAGGAUAGGUGCUGCCGAAGGCACGCGCAGCCUACUGGCACGAUCACGCUUCCAGGGCCCCUAGUAAUUAGGGAGCUGCCCCAGACUUUGAUCCGAGUCUAAAUUCCAGAACAUGGGCUGUGGGUGGACAAGAGCAUGGGGCUGACCAAGGUUCACGUCUGCGCUUGGCUGCAGAAGACAGAUCUGUCCACAUUGGGCACGGGGCUGCCUUUUUGCCCCAGAGCAACACCCACGUCUCCCAGGGGCAAAAAGACACAAAGAGCGACUUCAUUUCUUCCAUAAUCCGAUGCCUCCAAAGUCAGGCAGAGUCCCUGGUGUGGGAAACAACACAGGCCUCUGCAGUUCUGGUUCCAAGGAAUGAACACCCCCGAGGGCUCUGGAGCAACGGAAUGGGAUAAGACGGCCUGGGUUAGGGUGAGGGUCGCGCACAGGGGUUGAGGUCUGCGGAUCAGCUAUGACGGCUUCGGG
Phyllostomus hastatus (greater spear-nosed bat) is the source of this 491-nucleotide long non-coding RNA. RefSeq lists it as uncharacterized. The transcript has 3 exons. The record is from RefSeq and is a predicted model, not a curated record. Lineage: Eukaryota; Metazoa; Chordata; Mammalia; Chiroptera; Phyllostomidae.